GUGGCGGACGGGUGAGUAACGCGUGAGGAACCUGCCUUGAAGAGGGGGACAACAGUUGGAAACGACUGCUAAUACCGCAUGACGCAUAGGGGUCGCAUGAUCUUUAUGCCAAAGAUUUAUCGCUUCAAGAUGGCCUCGCGUCUGAUUAGCUAGUUGGCGGGGUAACGGCCCACCAAGGCGACGAUCAGUAGCCGGACUGAGAGGUUGAACGGCCACAUUGGGACUGAGAUACGGCCCAGACUCCUACGGGAGGCAGCAGUGGGGAAUAUUGGGCAAUGGGCGCAAGCCUGACCCAGCAACGCCGCGUGAAGGAAGAAGGCUUUCGGGUUGUAAACUUCUUUUAAGAGGGAAGAGCAGAAGACGGUACCUCUAGAAUAAGCCACGGCUAACUACGUGCCAGCAGCCGCGGUAAUACGUAGGUGGCAAGCGUUGUCCGGAUUUACUGGGUGUAAAGGGCGUGCAGCCGGGUCUGCAAGUCAGAUGUGAAAUCCAUGGGCUCAACCCAUGAACUGCAUUUGAAACUGUAGAUCUUGAGUGUCGGAGGGGCAAUCGGAAUUCCUAGUGUAGCGGUGAAAUGCGUAGAUAUUAAGGAGGA
RNAcentral lists this ribosomal RNA (595 nucleotides) under uncultured bacterium. RNAcentral's name for it is "bacterial SSU rRNA". It matches the Rfam family "Bacterial small subunit ribosomal RNA", at positions 95 to 705 of the family's 1533-position model. The record is from RNAcentral.